UACGAGAGGUCCAAACGUUAUUCGGAAUCACUGGGCUUACAGAGUUCGUAGGCGGUCCAGAAAGUGGGGUGUGAAAGCCCUCGGCUUAACCGAGGAACUGCGCUCCAAACUACUGGGCUAGAGGAAGAUAGAGGUGAGCAGAACUGAUGGUGGAGCGGUGAAAUGCGUUGAUAUCAUCAGGAAUACCGGAGGCGAAGGCGGCUCACUGGGUCUUUUCUGACGCUGAGGAACGAAAGCUAGGGGAGCAAACGGG
Molecule: ribosomal RNA, 253 nt
Filed under: uncultured bacterium
Lineage: Bacteria
Also listed under: 1 other name
Description: partial 16S ribosomal RNA
Rfam family: Bacterial small subunit ribosomal RNA
Source: RNAcentral